GUUUAAUUUUAUUAUUGAGCAGAAAGGAAUUGGGUAUUUCUUAGUCCCUUUGGAUCUCCCUGGGUUUGCAUCUCUAAUUCUAGACAGUGGGAUGUUGGUACUAGUGAUGGUUACCUCUUUCAGGACUAGUCAUAUGAAUCCCAUGCCGCCUUCUGCAUGUCUUACUCUACUCAUCUGCAUGGAUGGAGGCAAGGAGCGCCAAAGCUUAGAAGAGAAUAGUGGGCUGAAAAUUCCAUGAGGCCCACGUUGCUCCUAGCUGUCAUCUCCUA
RNAcentral lists this long non-coding RNA (269 nucleotides) under Bos grunniens (domestic yak). Its description in RNAcentral is "lncRNA (ENSBGRG00000026187.1)". The record is from RNAcentral. Lineage: Eukaryota; Metazoa; Chordata; Mammalia; Artiodactyla; Bovidae.